Molecule: ribosomal RNA, 327 nt
Filed under: uncultured bacterium
Lineage: Bacteria
Description: bacterial SSU rRNA
Rfam family: Bacterial small subunit ribosomal RNA
Source: RNAcentral
GACGAACGCUGGCGGCGCGCCUAACACAUGCAAGUCGAGCGAUGAUAGCUUUUCAGAUUCCUUCGGGAUGACGAAAAGAAGGAUUAGCGGCGGACGGGUGAGUAACACGUGAGUAACCUGCCUUUGACACAGGGAUAGCCUUGGGAAACUGGGAUUAAUACCUGAUGACAUCAUUAGAUCGCAUGAUUUAAUGAUUAAAAUGAUUUAGUGGUCAAAGAUGGACUCGCGUCUGAUUAGCUAGUUGGUGAGAUAAAAGCUCACCAAGGCAACGAUCAGUAACCGGCCUGAGAGGGUGAACGGUCACAUUGGAACUGAGACACGGUCCAA